RNAcentral lists this ribosomal RNA (404 nucleotides) under uncultured bacterium. RNAcentral's name for it is "bacterial SSU rRNA". It matches the Rfam family "Bacterial small subunit ribosomal RNA", at positions 355 to 776 of the family's 1533-position model. The record is from RNAcentral.
UGGGGAAUCUUGCGCAAUGGGCGAAAGCCUGACGCAGCCAUGCCGCGUGUAUGAUGAAGGUCUUAGGAUUGUAAAAUACUUUCACCGGUGAAGAUAAUGACUGUAGCCGGAGAAGAAGCCCCGGCUAACUUCGUGCCAGCAGCCGCGGUAAUACGAAGGGGGCUAGCGUUGCUCGGAAUUACUGGGCGUAAAGGGAGCGUAGGCGGACAUUUAAGUCAGGGGUGAAAUCCCAGAGCUCAACUCUGGAACUGCCUUUGAUACUGGGUGUCUUGAGUGUGAGAGAGGUAUGUGGAACUCCGAGUGUAGAGGUGAAAUUCGUAGAUAUUCGGAAGAACACCAGUGGCGAAGGCGACAUACUGGCUCAUUACUGACGCUGAGGCUCGAAAGCGUGGGGAGCAAACAGG